UGACUCUCGGCAAUGGAUAUCUUGGCUCUUGCAUCGAUGAAGAGCGCAGCGAAAUGCGAUACGUGGUGUGAAUUGCAGAAUCCCGUGAACCAUCGAGUUUUUGAACGCAAGUUGCGCCCGAGGCCAAUUGGUUGAGGGCACGUCCGCCUGGGCGUCAUG
Molecule: ribosomal RNA, 159 nt
Filed under: Aulosepalum tenuiflorum
Lineage: Eukaryota; Viridiplantae; Streptophyta; Magnoliopsida; Asparagales; Orchidaceae
Description: 5.8S ribosomal RNA
Rfam family: 5.8S ribosomal RNA
About the family: 5.8S ribosomal RNA (5.8S rRNA) is a component of the large subunit of the eukaryotic ribosome. It is transcribed by RNA polymerase I as part of the 45S precursor that also contains 18S and 28S rRNA.
Source: RNAcentral